UUUGGGGGCGGUGUUUACAGACUGGACUGAUUUUUCCUUGCUGCUGCCCUGCUUCAGCUGGGUUUUUUGAGCCUCCGAAGUUUUCCAACUAGAUUCGGAAAAACGAAAACACAGCUCGGGAAGCCUCCACCAGUCGAUUUGUGUGCCAAUUCGCCUCUGGCAAGGGCUGAACUCCUGGUACACAGAGCAGCCAAGACCAGCUCUACAUUCUUCCCUCCCCCCCUUAUUUCACUGGAGCCGGGAGCUCCGUGCUCAGGGGAAGGGCCUCAGUUCUACAAACUACCAAAGCCGGCUGGGUCGCUCCACUCCAAAAAAGGUGAGAAAGGAUUUCAUCUUUUUCUCAGAGGAGCCAGAAGCAG
RNAcentral lists this long non-coding RNA (359 nucleotides) under Microtus ochrogaster (prairie vole). RNAcentral's name for it is "HOXA transcript at the distal tip, conserved region 3 (ENSMOCG00000006422.1)". It matches the Rfam family "HOXA transcript at the distal tip, conserved region 3". The record is from RNAcentral. Lineage: Eukaryota; Metazoa; Chordata; Mammalia; Rodentia; Cricetidae.